This 458-nucleotide ribosomal RNA is filed under the name uncultured bacterium. RNAcentral's name for it is "bacterial SSU rRNA". It matches the Rfam family "Bacterial small subunit ribosomal RNA", at positions 28 to 485 of the family's 1533-position model. The record is from RNAcentral.
GACGAACGCUGGCGGCGUGCCUAACACAUGCAAGUCAACUUGACUGAAGGAGCAAUCUGACAGUAGAGUGGCGCAAGGGUGCGUAACGCGUAAGUAACUUGCCCCAAGGUAAGGAAUAACGUCGAGAAAUCGGCGCUAAUACCUCAUAAUGCAGCGGAUCCGCAUGGAUAUGUUGUUAAAGGUUUACCGCCUUGGGAUAGGCUUGCGUCUGAUUAGCUAGUUGGUGUGGUAACGGCACACCAAGGCCACGAUCAGUAACUGGUCUGAGAGGAUGAUCAGUCACACUGGAACUGAGACACGGUCCAGACUCCUACGGGAGGCAGCAGUGAGGAAUAUUGGGCAAUGCUCGAAAGAGUGACCCAGCAACGCCGCGUGGAGGAUGAAGGUAUUCUAUAUCGUAAACUCCUGUGAGAGCAGACGAAAGACAGAUUAUUAAUCUGGAUGACUGUAUGCUCAGA